Long non-coding RNA from Choloepus didactylus (southern two-toed sloth), 1998 nucleotides. RefSeq lists it as uncharacterized. The transcript is spliced from 3 exons. Lineage: Eukaryota; Metazoa; Chordata; Mammalia; Pilosa; Megalonychidae. The record is from RefSeq and is a predicted model, not a curated record.
CUGGGUCUGCUGCACCCCUGGGGGUCCCUGGCCUGGGUCUGCUGCACCCCUGGGGGUCCCUGGCCUGGGUCUGCUGCACCCCUGGGGGUCCUGGCCCCUGGUCUGCCUCUAGGGUGCAGCCGGCACAGCUGGAAACAGGCGGUGGAGAGCCGGUGGUCGGCCGGCGGAGGUGCAGGUGCCAGGGAACGGGGCUGCGAUGCAGGCCACGGAGUCUCCAGAGUUCACGCAGGAGGGGGUGGUGGGCACAGGCUCGUUAGAGUUGGGUGGCAAUACUGAAUUUUCUGCUAUUCCCAGAACUCUGAGGAUGGGGUGAGCAUCAAAGACUUUCUCUUAUCACCUCAAUAUCAGACUUUGGAUUUCUAGGGGAACAAAAGACAACUUUUCUUGGGGAGAGAGAAGCCUGCAGUCCUUGAGGUCAUCAGUGUUGUGAGCCCAAGAGAACCCCACAUAUCCGUUCUUCCCUUCUGUCUUACUGAACUCUGAGUCUGUAGUGAGUGGCAAUGCUUUCAGGUAAAAAGAGAAAAUCACAUUUCCAAUUCCCCCUGCAGAUUCUAGGGGGUCCCAGGCCAGUGGUUUGCAGGUGGAGAUGGUUGGAUGAGAUCCCUGGGAAAGCUCCUUAGGAAGAGAUCCUAUUCAGAAAAGAUGGGUGUGAUGCCUGGUGCUGCAGCAACCAAUUUGCUACCAUGAGGCUGCCUGACCAUGGACACCACAUGCUGAGGGUAACGAAGUCAUGGAAAAGUUCCCUCACGGUCCUGGGAUCGCACUGGGUGUCCUACAGCCAGCAGUCCCCUGCCCCAGGCAGCACGACUCGACUGUUCACCCACAGCGCUCUGCAGAGAGCUCGCACUUAUCCUGCUGCUACAGUCAUUUAAUUGUUCCCUGGAGCUUUGAGAAAGAUGUUUCUGCCGGUUCUUGCUGGCUGUUCAAAGUUCGUGUGGGAGAUGGAGUUCUGAAGCAUCUCAUGCCACCGUCUUCUGCUAAAAGCUUUUGUAAAACAUAUGCAAAAAAUAAGACACUUUAACUGCAAUUGGUGAAGGCUAGAGAAGGUCAAAGGGAAACCGAGGUGGGACCAUCCUCAGUUUGGGCUCCGAAGGAUACAUUUAUAUUCCAGUCAUUUCCACUUACAUCCAAGAAUGGUCAGGCCAUCACUAGUCCUCAAGUGCAGGGGACAUUCCUCUCACUUGUUGAGUUUUCUCACCUGGCAUCUGCACUGGGCAGAGCCGGCUCACCUGUCGUCUACACUGGGCAGAGCUGGCUCAUCUGGCUUCUACACUGGGUGGAGCCGGCUCACCUGGCACCUACACUGGGUGGAGCCAGCUCACCUCACAUCUGCAGAGGGCGGAGCCAGCUCACCUGGCAUCUACUCUGGGCAGAGCCGGCUCACCUGGCGUCUACACUGGGCGGAGCCGGCAGGCACACAGUGAAGUGGCCAUGUCCUGGGGCUUGUGGUGCGGGAUGUUGUGGGCGAGGGAGGGGAAGAAAGAGCUGAAGAGGUCAGAAGCCAACGCUGCUCCAUGGGGAAUCCUUCCGCUGUCGUAAGAGCAGCACCUCAUGCAGGGAUUCUCCGGCGCCUUUCGGAAUGGCGUCCCCUCCUGCAGGAACGUGCUGUCUAAUGUGCUGGUGUCUUCUUGUUAGAUUGGAAUUGUGCAAAGUAGAAUUUAUCAAAACUCUUGCGGCUUGUAGGCCCCUAUCUGUGCCCAAAUCAAAAAGAAGUGUGAGUCUGGAAUGGUGUAUUUUAUGUAUCUCAACCCUCAGUAAUAAAAACCAGAUUUCAGUCAACGAUGCUAGAAAAGACUACGUUAUAUUUGUCUUCUUUCUACUAAAAAGAUAUUAUGAAGUGGCUAUCACAGGAAGAGGUGGCCAAAGAGUAAAAAGUAGGAAAAAUGUAUCAUAAGACAAGAAUCUGGCAGUUUAUUAAUAAAAAUAUUAUGUUGUUUUUCUGGAUUUUGUGAUAUUUGCAGUAUUCUUCAGUUUAUUAAAAUUUGUAAUUUGUCAUGA